Molecule: non-coding RNA, 4720 nt
Organism: Coffea arabica (coffee)
Lineage: Eukaryota; Viridiplantae; Streptophyta; Magnoliopsida; Gentianales; Rubiaceae
Source: RefSeq, a predicted model, not a curated record
AUAAUCUACAAGCACCAAAUUUUGUCAAGUGAUAGUUGAAAACCGUUAGAAGUCAUAAAGUUCAAGAAUUGGACCGAUUCUUAAAAAGGAGUAUGCCUAGCGUUUUUGCUUAGUAUGAUAUAUUUUGUGCUGGAAGAGAAUCUCUAGUGCUGGAAAUAAUAAGUCUAUGUUUCUUAAGGGAAAAAAAAUUUAUGCAUGAUGUACUUUUAAGGUCAACUGGGUCAUGUCUAUACGAAUUAAUUCUUGUACUAUGAACUACUCUGAUUGCACAGCCUCAACACGUGUUUGUAAUGUGGUAAGUAAAGAUGAUGGUACUCAAUAAAAAUGUUAAUUCUUGUGUCAUGCACAUUUUUAAGGAGACAAGCUUCUCGAUUGCAACUAGUUAAGUCCAUGAUAAUUAUGCAUCUGGCAUUACCAGUUCUUUGUAUGCUAGUGAUGUUAAAGGGUUGGCUAGAAUCUGUCUGAAUGCAUGCCUGUCAAGACAACUGAAUAGAACAUUGUGCCUUGGAUGAUUCGCUAGAAUUCUCAGUGUAUUGGUCUGAUUCUGAUUUUAUUUUGUUUUCUUCUGCAAAUUAUAUUUUGUCGAGAUUCUUAUGCUCUAAGAGUGUCAUGGGAGAGGCAAGGUUUUGACUUUUGUGCAACGUUAGAAGUGUAAUUGGGUGGGGGAAAUACAUUGAUCUUCACAACUAACUUGAUUCAUGAUGAUCUUAGUGUAUAUUAGAGUUUGUCCUAGACAUCUGGCAAAAUGUACUCAUUUGACCUAUCAAUCUUGCAUCUGUAUCUUCAUCAGGUCCCUCUAUUCUUUUGGAUUAAUUUCUAGGCUGUGGUGUCUAUUUGAUGUUGUUCAGAGUUGGUGCAGAUUGUAGAUGAAAAUUUUAAGCCUAGCCAAUUAGCAGCAGAGAGUGGAUGGAUGGCCUGUGUAUUAGUCAGGAGGUAUGUAAUUAAUGGGUAAGCAAACCUUGUUUUGAGGCUGUUAAAAAAUCUGUCUCUUCUUCUUCUACUUGAUCUUACACCAUUGUUUUCUCUUAAAUGUUUGAUACAUUGUGGUUGAUGUCCCUGUACCAUUUACUCCGACUCUUAUUCUCAACUCAUCCUGUAAUUUUCUUUUUCUAUUGCUGUCUUCCCCUUGUUUUUAUGACAUUUUUAAAAAAAGAUGUUCUUUAUAGGUUAUUGUUCAAGGUAAGAAACUCAAUGUACUGAGUUGAUCCUGAUCUAGCACUGUUACUAUACUGGUUAGAUUGAUAUGAGCGUGUUAUACAUACUAUGCACCAGAUCUAAAUAAAGUUUUUUGCCUAGAUAUGCUAACAUGCUCGAUAUCUCCAGAGCUAUGAUACUUGGGUGUUCUUUUAGAGAAAUGGAGAUUUUGUGCUUUUCUAAAUUUGUGAUUUGUUUAAGUAAUCAUUCUACACUGCUUUAGAGCCUAACGAGUAUAAUGUCAUUAUUUCUCUUGUAAUGAAAGUCAAGUGGUAUAACACAACGUUAUGGAGAAUGAACAUACAUACAAAUGAUAAGUGAUGCUAGAGAACUGGCUGAUGUAAUUUCAUCACACUCACUGACCAAUUGUUAUGAGGAAAGAUGAUGGUAAGAUUAUUUUGCUUUUAGAAGUUUUUUUUUGGUUCUUAAUGUAUGUCGAAGCUACUGCUUUCUUAGUCCUACUAUACAAAAAUUAAUUUUCCUUGCAUGGUCCGUAAAUCCCUUCAUUGAUUCUUACCAUGAAGAAUCAUGAAUAGCUUAAAAAGAAAAAAAUUGCUUUAAGUUUUGAGCUUUUACAUUGUUUUUCUAUUUAUUUCUCUGAUAUAUUUAUUUAGGAUGCUUUAUGGUACGAGGUUUUGCUUUGAAUGCUCAGUGGUCUUAUUAGAUUCUGCUUUUUUUUUUUUUCAUUUAUUUUGCCUUCUGGGGAGAGGACAGGGGGGUUGGGAAGAGGGGUGGGGGUUGUUUUGGAGAUGACAUAGGAGCUUACUAUGUGAAGGAAUUAAUGAAAAGACAGAGCAAAUUACAUUAAGGUGAAAUUAAUUGGAUAUCUGCGUAAUAACCAUUGAUGCAAGCAUCUCUUGCUUUGUGAAAAGAUUGCCAGAAUAUAUUCCUUUUACCUUCUCCAUAAGAGAUAUCAGUAGCUGGAACACCAACAUGCUGAACGAAGGCAGAAUAAUCUGAUCCUCCUCCUCCUAACCUUCCAAUCUUAAAGACCUUUUGGUCAGUUUGUCAAUAUUGAAAUCCAAAAGCCACUUAUCAAGGCCACAGAAAUCCAGAAGCUGACCUUUUAGAUUUAGUAAUUCUUGGUAUUCAGGGGCAGUUUGAUUUUAAACCUAAGUAGCUAAAUGCCUUAGUUGAAAAGCAUCAAUUGAGUUAUCUCGUAAAGAUAAAUUAUAAAUCAAAGUGGUAGCACAAUGGUCUAGGACGUGGCCAUAUAUUCAGUGCUUGUAAUGUUUACCCUGCUCCCACAACCCCAAGGUUCACAUUUAAGAACUCUUACGCAAUUCUCUUUCUUAUUUAAACUAUCUUAAGAUGCUUACCUUAGGAUUUUCACUGGAGCGAAUCCAGGAUUGGUAGAUGGAUUGCGAGGAGUUAUCCGGGUCUUGGACCUAAGUCAGAAGUUUAUCUAAUUUGAGUGAGAAUAGAAAGAUAAAACAUAAAUUGACAUUUGAAGUUUGACAGACUGGUAUUCUUGUGCUGUUAAACUACAUUUGCACCUCUAUAUAUAUAUUUUUAAACUUGAUGCUUUCUACGUGGAUUAACCAUAUGCAAUCAUUGUUAAUGCAUAUGGCAAUGUUGUAAAACCCUGUUGCCCCAACCCUUGAGAUUCGUUUCGUACCUGCUUAGUUGCUUUUAUUAGUAGCUCAUCGAGCUGUGGAGUUGCAGAGGCAUAAAAUCCUAAUCCUUGAACUGCAAUAUCAACAUUCAUAUAGGCUACAGCUCUUGAUGCUAGCAUUUCCCUGUUCUCUUCAACCCAUUCUGUUGAUCCUAUCUGAAGAUGGUGAACUGCUUAUAAUUCAGUUAAAACAACAAAUAUGUUCUGCCUGUAUGAGCUCACACAGCCUCUUUCUAGCUUUGGUUAUUUGAAAGGAGCCAGGGGUGCAUGUGGACGAGUGAAUGUGCUACAGUGAGAGGAGCGAAAGACAAACCAGGCCAUAUUCUUCAGCAUCCCAAUUACAAAAUAUAAUUGUUCGCCGAGGUUUCCAACCUUUUUCCUGGAGCUUCCACAUCCUGUGUGCAACCUGUCUCUCUCAAAAAUAUCAGUUGAACUGCUAUUUUCCUUGGAAUUUGAAUCUAGGGAUGUUAAGACGAUUUAAGCACCAAAAUUUUACAUACCUCAAGCAGGGCUGCUGUGCCACUAUUUGGAUCAACAGCUCCAAAUGUCCAUGCAUCCCGGUGAUUCCCAAGUAUGACAUAUCUAGAAAAUUUUCAACUGUGUGAGGAAAAUCUAGCAUUAGAAAGUUACUCGGUAAGCUUGAUUUUGUUUAUCCAGGCUCAGUUUUUUGGAAAAUAAUAUUAUGAUUUCAUUUUGGCUAUCAUUUCUAUUGUAGGGCUUGCUAUAACAAUUUGCUUGUCAUUUUCUUACGUGACAAUUUCAUCAUGCAGAAUUGUUUCAGAGAUGCGUAUUAAUUUGCUGUACAUUGCAUGUUUGAAUUAUUCAAACUUACCUAUCAGCUCUACAGAUUCGACAUUUUGCUGGUUUUUCGAGACUUACUGUAUAACUAAGAUUCAGAAUUGCUGGUCCUGGCCCAACCUUGUAGACAGGAGCAUCUUUCCCUCCCUGCCAAUCGUCAUUUGCCACUUGUCCAUCUAUGGACCUCAGGAUUCUGUCACCAUCAGCCCAUGAAAUAGCAUAGUCCUGUACGCGCCCGUAAUUGGCAUAUACUACGGGUCCAGCUACAGUGCCAGACUUGGCAUAUGCGUGGAACGUCGGUAGGACUUCGUCUGCCACGUCGGCAUAAGGAUCACCGUCGUAAAUCUCUUGGUGGAGAUCGAACUUGACGGGGCUGUCUUGAGGAGUAGGUUUUAGGGUCAAGGAACGUGAGAUGGGAUAAGUUAAGGCAACUUCAUAGGUUGUUAUAUGUGAUCGAACCUUAUAGGAAGUGAGGGUGGAUAGAACAUAAGCCGCUGCUUCGGCAUUGGCUUCGGACCCAGCAACAUGAGGCCGCUUGGUUAGGAUGUAGAGGUGGUUUGCUAUUGAUUGAUUGCAUGAAAGGGAAUCAGAUAAGAACAAGGAAUGAUAAAAGGACUUUGAUGGGGGUGAGAGGAGGAGGAAGGAGAUGGAAGUUGCUAUGGCUAUGAAGCUUGAGAUCACGUUCGUAUUCAUUACAGUUUUAGAGGUCGGAACAAAUUUUACGAAAUAGUAGAUGCUUCUUGGGAGCUCUCCCUAAGAUGGAAAUCAGGGUUUAGUCUGCAAGAAAUAUUCUGAGACUACUACUAUUUUCGGUCCUUUUAAGGUUAUUUCCAAGUGGGGCAAGGCGGAUGGGAGGGUGGGGUGAUGGAUGUUAUUUCCAAGGAAGAGGAAGGACAAAGGGUAAGAUGCGGUUUUUUUGUAAACUUUUCAAUAAUUGAUGUUGAUUCCGUUCCCAUCGAACCAAAACCUGAUAUAUUUAUUUCGCUUUUAGAGCUUUGAUUGUUGCCAACUGAUGUAGAAAUAGACAAUGAAGCUAAAUUCAUGUUAUUGGUCGCAUUUGGCCCGAACAAACACUUGAAUAGAUCCGGUCUAUGUAAAUUUAGUAGUUUAAAA